AAAGACUUAAUAUUUGGUUUCUUCAUCUUUUAGGCAUCCGAGAAACAUGAUGUGGAAGAGAUGUAUCUUCUCCAAGAAACGAAGAGAUAUUUUUGUUAAGAAACGAAGAGGUUUCUCCAAAAAAAUGAAGAGAUUAAAUAGAGAAGUGUACCGGUUCACAUUUUAUCUUUCAAAUACUUAUUAAGGAAUAAAUGUCACUUAUGUUGAUAUAGGAAAUGUAUCUUGUCCAAAAAACAA
Molecule: long non-coding RNA, 237 nt
Filed under: Ananas comosus (pineapple)
Lineage: Eukaryota; Viridiplantae; Streptophyta; Magnoliopsida; Poales; Bromeliaceae
Description: long non-coding RNA (ACOM_LNC028395)
Source: RNAcentral